RNAcentral lists this long non-coding RNA (1052 nucleotides) under Chinchilla lanigera (long-tailed chinchilla). RNAcentral describes it as "lncRNA (ENSCLAG00000028273.1)". The record is from RNAcentral. Lineage: Eukaryota; Metazoa; Chordata; Mammalia; Rodentia; Chinchillidae.
AGGGCGCCAAAGGCGACGCCGGCGACCAGCUCCAGGCCCAGCGCAGUGGCCUGCAGGACCGGGCCCUUUCGGCGCGGGCCGGGUAGGCGACCCCAGGGCGCCGCCUAGAGGUCGGUGGCGGCCUCGGCCUCCUCGCCGGCGACAGCUGCCGCCAGAAACUGCAGGCCAACGCAAACCAAACAAAAACCAAAUCAAACAAGACAAAUUCCAAGCUUGGGCCAGCGGCUAGGCUUUUGGCUCCUCUGACUUUUACGAAACGACCUCCCCCUCUGCCCUAGAAGAAACGUCAGAAAAGGGAGCGGGGCCGGGAAGUCUCAGAAACUCGUGUUCUUUCGGUUUUCAGGGGAAGAGGGGCCCAGUCUUGGCUUCUUGCAGGACCUGUCUUCUGCGCUGCCCCCGCUUACCAGGCCAGGAGGGGAUGUAAACCAUUUGAAGUUCAUCAACAGGGUGAAGUUUUAUUGGAUUUCCGGUCCCCAAGAUUUAUACCCAGGAGGGUGAGGGUGAGGCCAGGCGGACUCCCUCCCUCCUUACCUCGGGUUUCCCUGCCGGACACGUGGCCGCUCAGACUGUCGCCUCUGGGAUGGACUCACACUCUGCACCUUGCAACAGAGUUGCAUCCAGCGCUGUCGCCGGCCAUAGCUCAGUACCGGGUCGCCCCACUGUCCUGGCGACAGCCCAGUCUCAGAGCUGGGGGAUCAUGUAGGGUGGAAGAUUUGACCUCUCAGAGCCACUCUGGAGGCCAGGUGACCCUGGAGCCGGGACUGGCCAGGUGGCCGGUGCCAGGUGGUACUCCUUGGUCAUGGGGAGAGCUGAGAAUCCUUCUCAUCUGUGGAGAGUUCCCGCUGUGGAGACAGAGGCCAAGCAGGUAUCUCAAAGUGGCCCUGCCUGAGCUGGAGUCUCUUGGAAAACAGAAGUUUCUGGAAAAUGACCUGCCAGGACCAGCUCCGAGCAGCUGUUACCUGCAGUCCCGGGUCCAGUUCUUCGGACGAGUUGUUCGCUGGCCACUGGGUCUGCGGGAGGAGGUGAGGGAAAUAAGUUACAGAGGGGAGUAA